Molecule: unclassified non-coding RNA, 696 nt
Filed under: Hevea brasiliensis (rubber tree)
Lineage: Eukaryota; Viridiplantae; Streptophyta; Magnoliopsida; Malpighiales; Euphorbiaceae
Source: RNAcentral
CACAGCUGGAGGAGAAGGAGAAGGAGAAGGAGCUCGAGAGGUUCGGUGUUACGGAGGAGUUAAGAGAGUUCGUGAAGGAAAUUACUAUGAGCACAUUUCAAGAUUUUCCAUUGGAAGAUGACUCGGAGAUGUCUGAAGUGCCUAUGGUGUCAAAUGUGAGGCAGGAUCUUACGCAGUGGCAAGAAAAGCACGCCUGCCUCGUUCUAUCAACAGUCAAGGAAAUAUCAAGGUUGAGAUAUGAGUUGUGCCCACGAACUAUGAAAGAAAGAAAAUUCUGGAGGAUAUAUUUUAUUAUAGUGAACAAUCAUGUUGCACCCUAUGAAAAGCGGUAUAUGGAGGAGGCAAUGCAAAAAUCUGCAGAGCAAGUAAAAGAUAAUGUAGUGGAGGAAAAAGCCAUGGCAACUUCCAAACCAGAGGUGAAGAAAUCAAACCACGAAAGUAAAACUUUGACCUCAUCAUCUGCUGAACAAGAUUUGGAUAUAUUUCUUCUGGGAGGAGACAGUGAUGAGGGUCCAGAUGAUGGUGAAGGGGACUUCGAUGAUUUUGACAAGAUGGUGGAUAGUUCGGAUGAGGAGAAAGGAAAGUUAUAGAAUAUUGCUGAUGUGACAACAUUGGGGACUAUUGCUGCAUCAAAUUAUAAGAGAGGAAAUGCUGCAUUGACACAUGGAAUAAGCGACUUAGUGGAAAACCUCCAUU